UUCCAUAAAGCAUAAGAUAUUUUAAUGAGAAAACGAAAACAAAACCAAACCUUAGUCUCAUGUUUCUAUCUAAAGACACUCAAAACUAGUUUUUCCCUGCCCAUCCCUUUCCUAACUGCAACUUUAUGUGUGACCAUGUAAUAAAGGCCAGUUUAAAGAAUUUUUUUUUUUUUAAAAAAGUUUAAACCUUUUUUAAAAAGAUUAAACAAUCAGGCUAGCAAAAAGGUACUCAAUACAUAUUUUCCUUAUAUCAAACAAGCUAAUUUCAGUACAAUAUAACUAUACAGAAUAUAUACAAUACACUUAUGUUCACAAAGCAAACACUAUAGGCUCAGAACAGAUUUGAAAAAACAUGAUAUUCACAUUGAUUACAAUAACUCUAAAAAUGAUUGUAACGUUGAAACGGCACUUAGUUUACAAAAAAGGUCACAAAAAUAUAUAUAUAUAUAUAUAUGUAGUCACCAAGAACUAUGGUUCCUGUAAAAUACUAAUAGCCAGAUACUAGUAUAUAAAAUGUGAAGUUCUGACAUUGUAUACAUUUUUUGGAAAUAAAACAAAAUCCAAAACAAUUUCUGUUAUUGUCAAAAGUCAAACAUGCCAAGUAAUUUAGCUAUGGCCAGUGUCACCAAGUAAAGCCAUACUUGAAUGAGAUGACGACUGGAUACAAAGCUGGUGAACUGGGGACUGGCACAGUUAAGAGUUGUACUAAUUCUAGGAAAGGGGUAGAAGACAUAAAAACACCCAUCUAUGUAAUUUAAUUCACAUUUUCUCCCCUGCAUCACCUUCCCUUGAGAGUUUCACAAAAUGCCAGUGCCCAGAAAGAAUCAUAAUGCUAUAACUGGCAGGGUAAAAAAGUACCCCCACCUCGACUUCCUUGCUGCAGGGCUAUAGGCAAAUAUUAAAGCAUGCAUCAGCUACACAAAACCAUCAGUCACCCAGCUGGAAGACCAUGUGUACAGUUUCUGCCUAGGCUGGCUGCACUAGGAAGUACUCCAGUUUUUAAAUGGAGCCAGAUUUAUGUUAGCCCUGUAAAAUAUUGAGCUACUGUAGCAGCAAAUAUGAAAUUACAGAACAAAAACAAAAUUUUAUUUAAAAAUUUGUUACAUCAAAAUUUUUUUCCUUCAAACCUGUGUCCUUUAACCAAACAACAGCUUCUUCUAUCACUUAAUUCUGGUCUAUUACCUCAAUCUGACUUUCUCAUUAUGCUUCUCUGGAAAAAAGACACUUCUAUAUCCUGGAGAUUAAAUUUACUCUUAAAAAUGGAAAUACAGGAAUUUUAAAGUAAAAAAAAAGUCUGUUGUAAAAGUUCUUUCACAAAUAUAUAUAUUUAAAUAUUAAAAUAGGCUACCUAGGAUUUUUAUAAAAUGGCUUUUGAAAAGAUAGUAGAGGCACAAAGAAGCCAUAUACUAUCCUCCAAGUUGGACAUAAGGUGCCACAAGGGUGCCCUA
Molecule: long non-coding RNA, 1448 nt
Filed under: Macaca fascicularis (crab-eating macaque)
Lineage: Eukaryota; Metazoa; Chordata; Mammalia; Primates; Cercopithecidae
Description: lncRNA (ENSMFAG00000054007.1)
Source: RNAcentral